This 487-nucleotide ribosomal RNA is filed under the name uncultured bacterium. RNAcentral describes it as "bacterial SSU rRNA". It matches the Rfam family "Bacterial small subunit ribosomal RNA", at positions 8 to 526 of the family's 1533-position model. The record is from RNAcentral.
AGAGUUUGAUCCUGGCUCAGGAUGAACGUUGGCGGCGUGCCUAACACAUGCAAGUCGAACGGCCCUUCGGGGCAGUGGCGCACGGGUGAGUAACACGUAGCUUAUCUACCCUCAAGUGCGGGAUAACGUUCCGAAAGGAAUGCUAAUACCGCAUAAGCUCCCGGUUUCUAGAGAACUGCGAGAAAAGGUUUACCGCUUGAGGAUGAGGUUGCGGCCCAUCAGCUAGUUGGUGCGGUAACGGCGCACCAAGGCGACGACGGGUAGGGGACCUGAGAGGGUGACCCCCCACACUGGGACUGAGACACGGCCCAGACUCCUACGGGAGGCAGCAGUGAGGAAUAUUGCACAAUGGGCGCAAGCCUGAUGCAGCGACGCCGCGUGAGUGAAGAAGGCCUUCGGGUCGUAAAACUCUUUUCUGUGUGACGAGCAAGGACGGUAGCACAGGAAUAAGUCUCGGCUAACUACGUGCCAGCAGCCGCGGUAAUUC